This 79-nucleotide transfer RNA is filed under the name Acidobacteriota bacterium. RNAcentral's name for it is "tRNA-Pro". It matches the Rfam family "tRNA". From Rfam's summary of the family: Transfer RNA (tRNA) molecules are approximately 80 nucleotides in length. Their secondary structure includes four short double-helical elements and three loops (D, anti-codon, and T loops). The record is from RNAcentral. Lineage: Bacteria; Pseudomonadati; Acidobacteriota.
CUGGGUGUGGGCUCAAUGGCCAGCCGCCUGAUUUGGGAUCAGGACAUUCAAGCAGGUUCGAUUCCUGCCACCCAGACCA